Molecule: long non-coding RNA, 1217 nt
Filed under: Manihot esculenta (cassava)
Lineage: Eukaryota; Viridiplantae; Streptophyta; Magnoliopsida; Malpighiales; Euphorbiaceae
Description: long non-coding RNA (MESC_LNC003219)
Source: RNAcentral
UUUUAUAUUACAAAUUAAAUUUAGAGACAAUGUUGUUACAACACUAUAAGUUCAAGGAGGAUAGGUGAAAUUUACCUCACUUUUGGAUCUCCUAGGGUCGGAUGGAUAGUCCAGGGCUAAUCUAACUUAGUUCGGUUUAAUUUUUUUUGUAGAAGGUUGAUUUUAAUUUGAGUUUGAUUUUGAUUCCUUAUAUUCUCAACUCAUAAUUCGUAUCUUUUGUCCUACUAAGCUUGAAAUGCAUUAUGCACCUCUUAAAAUAAAUUUUGAAACUUAUAAAAUUUUUAAAAAUUUAAAGUUUUCUUCUCGUGAUAUCUCUAGUAGGAUGAUAAUUGAUAUCUCUAGUAGGAUGAUAAUUGGUUGGCAAGUUAUGUUUUUGCGGCCAUAAAUUCGACACAAAUAUGAUUAAGUGUUGACACAAGCAUGAUAUAAUUAUUAAAUCACGUAUAAAAUCAAAAUACUAACAAUGCACUUCUAUUAUACAAGUUAUAUGAAUAAUUAAUUUAAAUUAUAUUGAGUUAAAGAUGAUACUAUAUAAGUAUUAUUUAUAAUACCCGGCUAGAUCCUGGCAUCGGAAUUUGGAAUUCAAAGAUGCCGGAGUCUUCUAGAAGGGUAAAAUGUGUUUUCUAAAAUGUUUUCACAUGAUUUUAUGGUUUUAAUGCAAAAGAAAUUGAGUUUUGAAAAGAAAAGACCAAGGAGGGAAGAACCCAGGUUCAGCCGCCGAACAUGGGGCUGUUUAGGAGGCACGUUAGGCUUUCGAAAGUGGCUUUCUUUCGACCGCCGAACAUGGGAUAGUUUAGGGGGCACGUUAGGCUGCCGAAGGUGGUGGAGUUGUGGAGACAGCUUAGGCCGCCGAAGGUGGUUGACCGGCCACCUAUAAAAAGGCCCUCAGAUAAAAAAUGGGCGAGUUUUCUCCCCAUUCUCGAGCUAGAGUGAGUUCAUGUCCUCCUUUGGUUGUUUUCAUACUUUUUCUUCAAAUCCCUCAAGUUUUCAUGAGUUGUGUCUUUGUUUUGAAGAGUUUUGAGCUUAAAAUCAAGUUUUGGAGCUUGGAGACCCAAGGAGCUAGAUUUCUCCCAUCUCCAAGUUAGGGAUCGCACCAACCCUCGAUCUUCAAGAGGUAAGUGUGGAUCUUUGCUUUCCUUUAUGUUUUAAUGAAGUUUUAGGAAGUUUUGAUGCUUGUGUGAGGGUAGAUGUGCAUGUUAAGGUUUAUGUGGGUUUUG